CAGCCGCCGCGGUAAUACGUAGGUCCCGAGCGUUGUCCGGAGUUAUUGGGCGUAAAGGGCUCGCAGGCGGUUUCUUAAGUCUGAUGUGAAAGCCCCCGGCUCAACCGGGGAGGGUCAUUGGAAACUGGGAAACUUGAGUGCAGAAGAGGAGAGUGGAAUUCCACGUGUAGCGGUGAAAUGCGUAGAGAUGUGGAGGAACACCAGUGGCGAAGGCGACUCUCCGGUCUGUAACUGACGCUGAGGAGCGGAAGCGUGGGGAGCGAACAGGAUUAGAUACCCCCGUAGUCCCUGUCUCUUAUAC
Molecule: ribosomal RNA, 301 nt
Filed under: uncultured bacterium
Lineage: Bacteria
Description: partial 16S ribosomal RNA
Rfam family: Bacterial small subunit ribosomal RNA
Source: RNAcentral